This 446-nucleotide ribosomal RNA is filed under the name Streptococcus parasanguinis. Its description in RNAcentral is "bacterial SSU rRNA". It matches the Rfam family "Bacterial small subunit ribosomal RNA", at positions 28 to 464 of the family's 1533-position model. The record is from RNAcentral. Lineage: Bacteria; Bacillati; Bacillota; Bacilli; Lactobacillales; Streptococcaceae.
GAUGAACGCUGGCGGCGUGCCUAAUACAUGCAAGUAGAACGCUGAAGCUUGGUGCUUGCACCGAGCGGAUGAGUUGCGAACGGGUGAGUAACGCGUAGGUAACCUGCCUCUUAGCGGGGGAUAACUAUUGGAAACGAUAGCUAAUACCGCAUAAAAGUCGACAUCGCAUGAUGUUGACUUGAAAGGUGCAAUUGCAUCACUAAGAGAUGGACCUGCGUUGUAUUAGCUAGUUGGUGAGGUAACGGCUCACCAAGGCGACGAUACAUAGCCGACCUGAGAGGGUGAUCGGCCACACUGGGACUGAGACACGGCCCAGACUCCUACGGGAGGCAGCAGUAGGGAAUCUUCGGCAAUGGACGGAAGUCUGACCGAGCAACGCCGCGUGAGUGAAGAAGGUUUUCGGAUCGUAAAGCUCUGUUGUAAGAGAAGAACGAGUGUGAGAGUGG